RNAcentral lists this unclassified non-coding RNA (300 nucleotides) under uncultured fungus. RNAcentral's name for it is "sequence contains ITS1". The record is from RNAcentral. Lineage: Eukaryota; Fungi.
GUAUAAUGUUUAUUAUCAUCAUAAUUCUAUAACUUUAAAGAAUUGGGUAUGUUAAAAACAUAGGCAUUGACGCCAGCAAACCUCUCAAAACCCAAAUCAAUGCAAAAGACAUUGACCUGACCCCAAGAGUUUCUUAAAUGUUCAGCCAAGCCUACAAAAGGUGCACAGGUGGUUGAUAAAAAGAGCGAAAAAGAGAGUGUGCACAUUGCCUUCCAUUUCAAUAAUAAAAGGCCAGCAACAACCCUUUUUUUUCACUUUUUUAAUUCAAUAAUGAUCCUUCCGCAGGUUCACCUACGGAAA